RNAcentral lists this long non-coding RNA (434 nucleotides) under Setaria viridis. RNAcentral describes it as "long non-coding RNA (SVIR_LNC004081)". The record is from RNAcentral. Lineage: Eukaryota; Viridiplantae; Streptophyta; Magnoliopsida; Poales; Poaceae.
GGAGGAUUGGAGGAGAGCUGCUAGCUGCCAAUUGGGUGCUUCGGUUGAUAGAGAAGGGACAAGGGAGUAGUGUUGGCCGGCUGGGAGGAGAGGAAGAUCAAGCUAUUGCCAAUUUGCUUCGUUGAGAAGAAAGGAGAGGAUGGAGAAGAGCGGGGGCAGCGUCUUGGUGGGAUUGGAGGUAGGCCUAUUCACGGGUUGGUUCGAAACUGUUGAACCCAUGAACCCAAAUCAGACCGGACCAUUGAAGAUGUUUGCACGGUUUCAUUCGGUUUCUGGUUCCAACCUGUAUGUGCAGAAGCGGGUUGAGUUCUACACAGGUUAGAAAUCGUGAAACCAGGUAAACCUACCUCAGUGCUUGCAUCUUAUUCUGGCACCUCCGGCGGUAGCAGUGAAGAGGACAAGAUGGUCACGAACUCGCAGACGCAUCAUCACAU